Molecule: long non-coding RNA, 1287 nt
Organism: Astatotilapia calliptera (eastern happy)
Lineage: Eukaryota; Metazoa; Chordata; Actinopteri; Cichliformes; Cichlidae
Source: Ensembl
CUGUAUUCUCUGAGUGUUUUUAAGUCUGGUCUUCUGUCUUAGUCGUUGCUGGUUCGUCUGUGUUGUUUCCCUGCGUCUCUCCGUAUGCAAUUCCCCGGACCUCCCUGCAUCUUCGUUUCUGGUUUGUUUUGUUAGUUUUACCCAGUUUAGGUUUUCCUGUUUCACCUUCACCCACACCAUCGCUGUUUGUAUUUUCCUUUGUUAAAUAAAUACUCAUCUGCACCAGAGCUUCCGCAUUUUGGGUCCUAUCUCCAAUUCCACACGUCUGCCACCGCGGAUGUGACAGUACUGUGAUAUUAUUCUGUUAUUGUAAUGGGGAAGUCUUUAGGACCCAGGGGACCCAAUGGAGGGUAUAAAAGAGGAAGUAGCAGCAGGUGCUCUUCAUUUCCACUGACGAGCGGCUGUGAACAAUGGUUGUGUGAGUAGGUGAAGAGCCUGAGAAGUUUUAAUUGUCUGCUACACAAAAAGUUGUUUUAAACCUCUACAGCAGAGGUUCGAGGUACAGGCUGUUUUUCUUUUAGUGUUUUUUUUAUUUUUUUUAUUUGUUGAAAUGUAUUUGAUGUUUAUUGUAUUUUAUGUUUUAGUAGUGAUUUUUACAAGAUAAGCCAAGAUAAGCCAGGUGUGCAGCAAACACAGUUGUCUGCUGGAGGGCAGGCUGCACAUGUGAAUUUGUCACUGUUUUUUCCUCCUUCUCCUUGUUGUUGUGUUUUUGGUUUUGGUAGGGUCACCUUUUAAAACUGUUUUUUUAUGCCGGGUUUGUUUUUAUUUCUACUGGGCUGGUGCAAUAUUAGUCGGGCAAUGUGCAAUCCCUGAGUGGGGCUCUUACCUUAGGGGAAUUAGGAUCUUUAGAGGUGCUCUGUGUGGAUUUGCAGUGAAUAAGUUUUUAUUAAGAGUGAUUUUUAGUGCCACCGAUUAUUGCCUGAACUAGCACUUAGUGCAUGCGAUAAGUGUUCUGUUGGGCUCGUAUUUAUUUGGGGUGGAUUUGUUUGUUUUAAAGCAACGAGCAUCUGGGACCGCCAAGGGAGAGCAAGCCCUCAGGUGAUAGUUGCAUUGCUGGCAGGUUGCACCAAUAACACUAUCUUGUGGUCGUUAGUGACCUUUACCAUUUUGAUGUUUUAGGCCUUUUGCAAACCCUUUGUGUUCUUUUAAAAUAAUAAAUUUUAACAUAUCUGACUGAUAUUGACCCUCUUGUCCUGUUUAUUCUGGGCUCGUUCCUGUGAGAGCUUUGGGCCUGAAAGUUUGCACAAGUAGUAUAGAGGCCCUUAGCGGUUACUCGGUGGCUUUCGC